GCGCCCGCCACCACGCCCGGCUAAUUUUUUUGUAUUUUUAGUAGAGACGGGGUUUCGCCGUGUUAGCCAGGAUGAUCUCGAUCUCCCGACCUCGUGAUCCGCCCGCCUCGGCCUCCCAAAGUGCUGGGAUUACAGGCUUGAGCCACCGCACCCGGCCUGCUUCUAUUCUUAACAUCUGAUUUUCAGUCUCUACCCCCCAUCACUCCCCACCUCUCUGCCCAUAUUGAGCAGCUCCUUUCUUGGGAGUGGUCCUGUGCUGGAUUGAGUUUAGCCAAGGAGACUGCUGCUGCACAGCUCAAAGAAAACCGACCUGCUCACUCCAACAGGAAAGUCCUGGGGGUCAAAGUAAAAUCUUCAAAGCUACAGCUGGCUUGUCAGAUGCUAAAAUCCCUUCUUCCUUGCUCUCUGGAAAGAUGCUUAGAAGACAAAACAGGACAUCUCUUGCCUGAGUCACUAUAUUCCUUAAAAGAUAAAUGACCGCAGUGUUUGUCUUUGCCUACACAUAAGAUAACCUCUGACAAGGUCAGUGAUGAUGCCUCUGUAAUCUAUAACCAGUUGUGCUCUUACACCGAAACGUCAAUGUGAUUCUGCUUGAAUGCAACUUCUGAGCAAGUCUCAUGUGACUUUGAACAUAUUGAACCCCCACCGCCUGUAUAUGGGCCAUGGGCUGAGAUACUGUGCCCCAGCAGUCUCAUAGAACUGCUCCUGGGCUACAGGCCUUGGUCUAUAGCCCUCAGUAAGACUUCUGAAUAAAACUAACUUUAAAUCUUUAAAAGCUUUUGUUGUUUUUUUUUUCCAUUGACAGUCAUUUCCAUCCUCAAAGGGAGUUUUAUAUCAGAAUAACUGAGUUGGACAGAAUAACAAAGGCAACUUAGCCACACUGGCUAAGAGCUGGGACUCCUGGGCAAAACUGCUUGGGUUGGAAUCUCAACUCCAUUGUUUAUGAGCUGUGUGACCUUGGGCAAAUUUGCCUCUCUGUGCCUCAGUUUUUUUU
RNAcentral lists this long non-coding RNA (994 nucleotides) under Homo sapiens (human). Its description in RNAcentral is "HSALNT0089898". The record is from RNAcentral. Lineage: Eukaryota; Metazoa; Chordata; Mammalia; Primates; Hominidae.